Carassius gibelio (silver crucian carp) is the source of this 862-nucleotide long non-coding RNA. RefSeq lists it as uncharacterized. The record is from RefSeq and is a predicted model, not a curated record. The transcript is spliced from 3 exons. NCBI's taxonomy places the organism in Eukaryota, Metazoa, Chordata, Actinopteri, Cypriniformes, Cyprinidae.
UAUGGAUUCUUUAGAUCAUUCCGGAUCUGUGGAUGUCAAUUUUGUCGAGACCACCAGGACCACCCGUCCGCCAUUUUGAAUUUUGUCAUAAAUUGCUAUAUCUUUUGAUCUAUUGUACAUAUCUUCACAAAAAUCGAUAGGCAUCAUCAACACCAUGUGCCUGAGGUACCCCGGAAGUUAGAAGACAGCGCCACCUAGUGUUCAAGAGAUAUAACGAUUCUUGCAAAACCCCUUAUAACUACUGUAAAUGUUGAUCAAUUUUUGUUAUUUUUAUGUCAUUUUAUUCCUUUGGUUAUGCCGAAUCUGAUGAUGUCUCAAUUGUCAUUUUCCAACAUGGCGUCUGUCCGCCAUAUUGAAUGGAAUGAAAUACAGUUUUUUCGCUACUCCUCCCUGAAAUCUUAUUCAAUUUUGUUCAAAAUUUUAUCAGAUGGACUUCAGACCGGGCCUGACAGAAAUGACUGAACAGAUUUUUGAUAUUCACUCCCGUUCCCGACAUGUACUGCUCUGAAGUUGACCGUGCCUGUGCUUGUUGAUUUAUGCUAGUUAGCUUAGCAUGCUAAUUAGCUAAAAUGCUAACACGUUUCUAUUGACUCUAAUGGGUCUCCUGAGCUAUCUGGUUAACUUUGAGCAACGUUAGCAUUUUUUAGCGUAGCAUGCUAAUCUGGCUAAAAUGCUGCUUCGGGCUUUUGAGAGUUCAUUCUCACACCUUAACCUCUCUUCUGUGCCAUGCGAACUGUGUGUCAACUAAUGUGGCGCACUUCGCUAAGGCACUCGUCCCAAACCCGAGAGGUCGUGGGAUCGAAUCCGGGGUGGGUAAUGUCGAUCCGAUGGAAGUUCCGUUUUGGCCGUUUUGCUUCGUCCC